RNAcentral lists this ribosomal RNA (854 nucleotides) under Phormidium tenue. Its description in RNAcentral is "bacterial SSU rRNA". It matches the Rfam family "Bacterial small subunit ribosomal RNA", at positions 507 to 1361 of the family's 1533-position model. Lineage: Bacteria; Bacillati; Cyanobacteriota; Cyanophyceae; Oscillatoriales; Oscillatoriaceae. The record is from RNAcentral.
GCCACGAGCCGCGGUAAGACGGAGGAUGCAAGCGUUAUCCGGAAUUAUUGGGCGUAAAGCGUACGUAGGCGGUUUUGUAAGUCUGUUGUCAAAGCCCGAGGCUUAACCUUGGAAAGGCAAUGGAAACUGUAAGACUAGAGAGAGAUAGGGGCAGGAGGAAUUCCAGGUGUAGCGGUGAAAUGCGUAGAUAUCUGGAAGAACACCAGUGGCGAAAGCGUCCUGCUGGAUCUCAACUGACGCUGAAGUACGAAAGCUAGGGGAGCGAAUGGGAUUAGAUACCCCAGUAGUCCUAGCCGUAAACGAUGGGUACUAGGUGUUGGCCGUAUCGACCCGGUCAGUGCCGUAGCUAACGCGUUAAGUACCCCGCCUGGGGAGUACGGUCGCAAGAUUGAAACUCAAAGGAAUUGACGGGGGCCCGCACAAGCGGUGGAGUAUGUGGUUUAAUUCGAUGCAACGCGAAGAACCUUACCAAGGCUUGACAUGUCGCGAAUCUCUGUGAAAGUAGAGAGUGCCUUCGGGAGCGCGAACACAGGUGGUGCAUGGCUGUCGUCAGCUCGUGUCGUGGGAUGUUGGGUUAAGUCCCGCAACGAGCGCAACCCUCGUAUUUAGUUGCCAUCAUUAAGUUGGGCACUCUAGAUAGACUGCCGGUGACAAACCGGAGGAAGGUGGGGAUGACGUCAAGUCAUCAUGCCCCUUACGCCUUGGGCUACUCACGUACUACAAUGGCUGGGACAAAGAGUCGCGAGCAUGCGAAUGCAAGCUAAUCUCGUAAACCCAGUCUUAGUUCAGAUUGCAGGCUGCAACUCGCCUGCAUGAAGGCGGAAUCGCUAGUAAUCGCAGGUCAGCAUACUGCA